RNAcentral lists this ribosomal RNA (1747 nucleotides) under Pantoea sp. 3_1284. RNAcentral describes it as "bacterial LSU rRNA". It matches the Rfam family "Bacterial large subunit ribosomal RNA", at positions 1223 to 2925 of the family's 2925-position model. The record is from RNAcentral. Lineage: Bacteria; Pseudomonadati; Pseudomonadota; Gammaproteobacteria; Enterobacterales; Erwiniaceae.
GCUGGGUAGGGGAGCGUUCUGUAAGCCGCAGAAGGUGGCCUGUGAGGGCCGCUGGAGGUAUCAGAAGUGCGAAUGCUGACAUAAGUAACGAUAAAGCGGGUGAAAAGCCCGCUCGCCGGAAGACCAAGGGUUCCUGUCCAACGUUAAUCGGGGCAGGGUGAGUCGACCCCUAAGGCGAGGCCGAAAGGCGUAGUCGAUGGGAAGCAGGUUAAUAUUCCUGCACUUGGUGUUGCUGCGAAGGGGGGACGGAGAAGGCUAGGUUAUCCGGGCGACGGUUGUCCCGGUUUAAGCGUGCAGGUGUGAAGACCAGGCAAAUCCGGUCUUCUUUAACACUGAGGCGUGACGACGAGGCUCUACGGAGCUGAAGUAACUGAUGCCCUGCUUCCAGGAAAAGCCUCUAAGCUCCAGGCAACACGAAAUCGUACCCCAAACCGACACAGGUGGUCAGGUAGAGAAUACCAAGGCGCUUGAGAGAACUCGGGUGAAGGAACUAGGCAAAAUGGUGCCGUAACUUCGGGAGAAGGCACGCUGGCGCGUAGGUGGAGGGACUUGCUCCCCGAGCCGAGGCCAGUCGAAGAUACCAGCUGGCUGCAACUGUUUAUUAAAAACACAGCACUGUGCAAACACGAAAGUGGACGUAUACGGUGUGACGCCUGCCCGGUGCCGGAAGGUUAAUUGAUGGGGUUAUCCGCGAGGAGAAGCUCUUGAUCGAAGCCCCGGUAAACGGCGGCCGUAACUAUAACGGUCCUAAGGUAGCGAAAUUCCUUGUCGGGUAAGUUCCGACCUGCACGAAUGGCGUAAUGAUGGCCAGGCUGUCUCCACCCGAGACUCAGUGAAAUUGAAAUCGCUGUGAAGAUGCAGUGUACCCGCGGCAAGACGGAAAGACCCCGUGAACCUUUACUACAGCUUGACACUGAACAUUGAGCCUUGAUGUGUAGGAUAGGUGGGAGGCUUCGAAGCGCGGACGCCAGUCCGCGUGGAGCCAUCCUUGAAAUACCACCCUUUAACGUUUGAUGUUCUAACGUGGGCCCGUUAUCCGGGCUGCGGACAGUGUCUGGUGGGUAGUUUGACUGGGGCGGUCUCCUCCCAAAGCGUAACGGAGGAGCACGAAGGUUGGCUAAUCCUGGUCGGACAUCAGGAGGUUAGUGCAAUGGCAUAAGCCAGCUUGACUGCGAGAGUGACGGCUCGAGCAGGUGCGAAAGCAGGUCAUAGUGAUCCGGUGGUUCUGAAUGGAAGGGCCAUCGCUCAACGGAUAAAAGGUACUCCGGGGAUAACAGGCUGAUACCGCCCAAGAGUUCAUAUCGACGGCGGUGUUUGGCACCUCGAUGUCGGCUCAUCACAUCCUGGGGCUGAAGUAGGUCCCAAGGGUACGGCUGUUCGCCGUUUAAAGUGGUACGCGAGCUGGGUUUAGAACGUCGUGAGACAGUUCGGUCCCUAUCUGCCGUGGGCGCUGGAGAAUUGAGGGGGGUUGCUCCUAGUACGAGAGGACCGGAGUGAACGCACCGCUGGUGUUCGGGUUGUCACGCCAGUGGCACUGCCCGGUAGCUAAGUGCGGAAAAGAUAAGUGCUGAAAGCAUCUAAGCACGAAACUUGCCCCGAGAUGAGUUCUCCCUGGCUCCUCGAGAGCCCUGAAGGGACGUUGAAGACGACGACGUUGAUAGGCCGGGUGUGUAAGCGCAGCGAUGCGUUGAGCUAACCGGUACUAAUGACCCGUGAGGCUUAACCUUACAACGCCAGAGGCGUUUUG